RNAcentral lists this ribosomal RNA (478 nucleotides) under uncultured bacterium. RNAcentral's name for it is "partial 16S ribosomal RNA". It matches the Rfam family "Bacterial small subunit ribosomal RNA", at positions 28 to 523 of the family's 1533-position model. The record is from RNAcentral.
GACGAACGCUGGCGGCGUGCUUAACACAUGCAAGUUGAACGGUAAGGCCCUUCGGGGUACACGAGUGGCGAACGGGUGAGUAACACGUGGGUGAUCUGCCCUGCACUUCGGGAUAAGCCUGGGAAACUGGGUCUAAUACCGGAUAGGACCACUGCCUGCAUGGGUGGUGGUGGAAAGCUUUUGCGGUGUGGGAUGGGCCCGCGGCCUAUCAGCUUGUUGGUGGGGUGAUGGCCUACCAAGGCGACGACGGGUAGCCGGCCUGAGAGGGUGACCGGCCACACUGGGACUGGGAUACGGGCGAGACUCCUACGGGAGGCAGCAGUGGGGAAUAUUGCACAAUGGGCGCAAGCCUGAUGCAGCGACGCCGCGUGAGGGAUGACGGCCUUCGGGUUGUAAACCUCUUUCAGCACCGACGAAGCGCAAGUGACGGUAGGUGCAGAAGAAGGACCGGCCAACUACGUGCCAGCCGCCGCGGUAA